AGUGCCGUUGAUACUGUGAGGCUAGGAUUUGGUUGCUGUGGGUGGAAUGUGUGGUGUAUCGGUGAAAUGCUUAGAGAUCACACAGAAUAUCGAUUGCGAAGGCAGCUCACAAAGCCAAGAUUGACGCUGAGGCACGAAAGUGUGGGGAUCAAACAGGAUUAUAUACCCUGGUAGUCCACACUGUAAACGAUGAUAACUCGCUGUCGGCGAUAUACAGUCGGUGGCCAAGCGAAAGCGAUAAAGUUAUCCACCUGGGGAGUACGACCGCAAGGUUGAAACUCAGAGGAAUUGACGGGGGCCCGCACAAGCGGACGAGCAUGUGGUUUAAUUCGAUGAUACGCGAGGAACCUUACCGGGGCUUGAAGGUAAGACGAAUAUAUGGGAAACCAUAUACCCUACGGGCGUCUUGAUAUGUGCUGCAUGUUUGUCAUCAACUCGUGCCGUGAGGUGUUAUGUUAAGUCCUGCAUCAAGUGCAUCCCUAUUAAUAUUGGCCACCAUCCUCACGGGGGGAGAUUCUAUAUCACUUCCUCCCGCCCACUGAGUGUAGGGUGGGGGAUGACGUCUAUUCACCACGGUCCUGUAUGUCACGGGGCUACAUAUCUGCUAUAGUGGGAUAUACACAGGUGCGCUACUCAGUGACGAGAUGCUAUUCGUAAAAGUAUCUCUCAAUUGGGAGUGGGGUGUGGAAACUCUG
This 695-nucleotide ribosomal RNA is filed under the name uncultured bacterium. RNAcentral describes it as "bacterial SSU rRNA". It matches the Rfam family "Bacterial small subunit ribosomal RNA", at positions 620 to 1315 of the family's 1533-position model. The record is from RNAcentral.